GACGAACGCUGGCGGCGUGCUUAACACAUGCAAGUCGAACGGAAAGGCCCUGCUUUUGUGGGGUGCUCGAGUGGCGAACGGGUGAGUAACACGUGAGUAACCUGCCCUUGACUUUGGGAUAACUUCAGGAAACUGGGGCUAAUACCGGAUAGGAGCUCCUGCUGCAUGGUGGGGGUUGGAAAGUUUCGGCGGUUGGGGAUGGACUCGCGGCUUAUCAGCUUGUUGGUGGGGUAGUGGCUUACCAAGGCUUUGACGGGUAGCCGGCCUGAGAGGGUGACCGGCCACAUUGGGACUGAGAUACGGCCCAGACUCCUACGGGAGGCAGCAGUGGGGAAUAUUGCACAAUGGGCGGAAGCCUGAUGCAGCAACGCCGCGUGCGGGAUGACGGCCUUCGGGUUGUAAACCGCUUUCGCCUGUGACGAAGCGUGAGUGACGGUAAUGGGUAAAGAAGCACCGGCUAACUACGUGCCAGCAGCCGCGGUGAUACGUAGGGUGCGAGCGUUGUCCGGAUUUAUUGGGCGUAAAGGGCUCGUAGGUGGUUGAUCGCGUCGGAAGUGUAAUCUUGGGGCUUAACCCUGAGCGUGCUUUCGAUACGGGUUGACUUGAGGAAGGUAGGGGAGAAUGGAAUUCCUGGUGGAGCGGUGGAAUGCGCAGAUAUCAGGAGGAACACCAGUGGCGAAGGCGGUUCUCUGGGCCUUUCCUGACGCUGAGGAGCGAAAGCGUGGGGAGCGAACAGGCUUAGAUACCCUGGUAGUCUACGCUGUAAACGGUGGGUACUAGGUGUGGGGUCCAUUCCACGGGUUCCGUGCCGUAGCUAACGCUUUAAGUACCCCGCCUGGGGAGUACGGCCGCAAGGCUAAAACUCAAAGGAAUUGACGGGGCCCCGCACAAGCGGCGGAGCAUGCGGAUUAAUUCGAUGCAACGCGUAGAACCUUACCUGGGUUUGACAUGGAUCGGGAGCGCUCAGAGAUGGGUGUGCCUCUUUUGGGGUCGGUUCACAGGUGGUGCAUGGCUGUCGUCAGCUCGUGUCGUGAGAUGUUGGGUUAAGUCCCGCAACGAGCGCAACCCUUGUUCACUGUUGCCAGCACGUUAUGGUGGGGACUCAGUGGAGACCGCCGGGGUCAACUCGGAGGAAGGUGGGGAUGACGUCAAGUCAUCAUGCCCCUUAUGUCCAGGGCUUCACGCAUGCUACAAUGGCUGGUACAGAGAGUGGCGAGCCUGUGAGGGUGAGCGAAUCUCGGAAAGCCGGUCUCAGUUCGGAUUGGGGUCUGCAACUCGACCUCAUGAAGUCGGAGUCGCUAGUAAUCGCAGAUCAGCAACGCUGCGGUGAAUACGUUCCCGGGGCU
RNAcentral lists this ribosomal RNA (1346 nucleotides) under uncultured bacterium. RNAcentral's name for it is "bacterial SSU rRNA". It matches the Rfam family "Bacterial small subunit ribosomal RNA", at positions 28 to 1381 of the family's 1533-position model. The record is from RNAcentral.